AGCUUAAAUUGGGAUUAUGUAAUCACCAAAGAUUUAUACCUCAUAUCCGUCUAGAUUAAAUACCGAUCUAAUACUUCUAUCAAUCGCAAAUAGAUGUAUAAAAGGCGGCGUUGAUGUCAUUGCGAUAUCUUUUGUGAAAAGUAUUCAUAAGCACAAAAACAGAAAAUAUGAAAUUCUUCAUUGUCCUGUCCGCCAUUUUGGCCUUAAGCGCUGGUUUCCCAGUCGAGAUGACCUUGCCACAGAUCGACCAGGCCCUUUCCAGCCCAACCACUCCAGCAUACCUUCUGGCAACUCUCGAACAAGCCUUGAACAAACUCAUGGAAUCCUUAUUCGCUGGAAAAGAUGCAAAGACAGUGACCGUUGAAUUGCCCCUGGCCCCCGUCAAUAUUCUGCCAGCUGCCGUUGACCAGGCCCCAGCUGAAGUACCAACCUUCUCCAGCCCACUUGUGCAAGUUAUCGUCAACGUGAACAAGGAAAGCCCAAAGGUGGCGGAAGUGCCAGCCCUGGAGCCCGAGACCGUCGCAGAGCCAGAAGACGUUAUCACAAAUCCAAUUGACGUCAUCUCUGUCAACCCUGCUGGUCUUUCUUAAAUUAUCUAUAAAUGUUACUGUAAAUAAAAUGGAAUAAUAUGAUAA
Molecule: long non-coding RNA, 635 nt
Organism: Leptidea sinapis
Lineage: Eukaryota; Metazoa; Arthropoda; Insecta; Lepidoptera; Pieridae
Exons: 4
Source: RefSeq, a predicted model, not a curated record